AUUGAACGCUGGCGGCAUGCUUUACACAUGCAAGUCGAGCGGUAACAGGCCGCAAGGUGUUGACGAGUGGCGAACGGGUGAGUAAUGCAUCGGAACGUGCCCAGUCGUGGGGGAUAACUACUCGAAAGAGUAGCUAAUACCGCAUACGAUCUAUGGAUGAAAGCGGGGGACCGUAAGGCCUCGCGCGAUUGGAGCGGCCGAUGUCAGAUUAGGUAGUUGGUGGGGUAAAGGCUCACCAAGCCAACGAUCUGUAGCUGGUCUGAGAGGACGACCAGCCACACUGGGACUGAGACACGGCCCAGACUCCUACGGGAGGCAGCAGUGGGGAAUUUUGGACAAUGGGCGCAAGCCUGAUCCAGCAAUGCCGCGUGCAGGAAGAAGGCCUUCGGGUUGUAAACUGCUUUUGUACGGAACGAAACGGCUCUGGUUAAUACCCGGGGCUAAUGACGGUACCGUAAGAAUAAGCACCGGCUAACUACGUG
This 482-nucleotide ribosomal RNA is filed under the name uncultured bacterium. Its description in RNAcentral is "partial 16S ribosomal RNA". It matches the Rfam family "Bacterial small subunit ribosomal RNA", at positions 30 to 507 of the family's 1533-position model. The record is from RNAcentral.